AGGUUGGUCUUGAACUCCUUCCUUCAAAUGAUCCCCCUCCCUCGGCCUCCCAAAUUGCUGGGAUUAUAGGCAUGAGCCACCAGACCCAACCUUGUAUUGUCCUGGAAGCAUUCAUCACAAUGAAACAUCUAUUCAAGGAGAGCUCCUAUAACUCUGGCUCAUAACAUAUAGAAACGUGAUAUACUUAAGAACAGGACAAGAGAGGACAGUAGGAGCGAAGCUGCAUUGGAAUAAAGAAAUGACAGCAGAUGUUAACUUGAACCCCCAGGAAUACAUUAAGAGAACCUGAAACUGGACAUGGAUGAAGCUGGAAACCAUCAUCCUUGGCAAACCAACACAGGGACAGAAAACCAAACAUCACAUGUUGUCAUUCAUAAGUGAGAGCUGAACAAUGAGAACACAUGGACACAGGGAGGGUAAGAUCACACAUCGGCCCUUGUUUUGGGGGUAGUGGGCAAGGGAGGGAGAGCAUGAGGACAAAUACCUAAUGCUCGCCGGGCUUAAAACCUAGAUAAUGGGUUGAUAGGUGCAGCAAACCACCAUGGCACAUGUAUACCUAUGUAACAAACCUGCACGUUCUGCACAUGUAUCCCAGAAAUUAAACCUCACUAAUCAUCAGUGAAAUGCAAAUCAAAACCACAAUGAUAUAUCAUUUCUCCUCAGUUAGAAUGACUAUUGAAAAAAUUAAUGCAAAUACUAAUAAAGAUGAGGAGAAAAGAGAACUCUUAUAUGCUAUUAGUGGGAAAGUAAAUUAGUAAAGCCAUAUGAAAAACAGUGUGGACCUUUCUCAAAAACACUAAAAAGAUGGAACUACCACAUGAUUCAGUUUUUUCCACUAUUAAGUCUUUAUCCAAAGGAAAGAAGGAAACAACAGACACUGGGGCCACAUUGAGGGUGGAAGUUGAGAGGAGGGAGAGGAUUGAAAAACUACCUGUUGCAUAGCAUGCCUAUUAACCUGGGUGAUGAAAUAAUUUGUACACCAAAAUCCCAUGACAUGCAAUUUAGCUAUAUAAGAAAACUGCACAUAACCUAAAAGAAACCUAAAAUAAAAGCUAAAAAGGAAAUUAGUAUAUAGAAGAAAUAUAUGCACUCCAUGUUUAUUGUAGCACUAUUCAAAAUAGCUGAUACUGCAUCAACCUAAAUAUCCAACUACAGAUGAAUGCAUAAAGACAGUAUAGUGUAGCUACACAAUGGAUUAGUAUUCAGUCAUAAAAGUGAAAUCCUGUCAUUCAAGACAACAUGGAUGAGCCUACAUAAUUAAAAUGAAAUAAGCCAGGCACAGAAAGAUAAAUACUCACACAUAUGAAAGCUAAAAUAAGUUGAGCUUAUGGAAGUAGAGAUUAGAACUGUGAUUAUUACAGGCUGGGAAAGGUAGAGGGGAGAGGACAGUAGGGAGAGGUUGGUUAACAGCUACAAUAUUAUAGCUAGAUGGGGGAAUAAGUUUAAGUGUGCUAUAGUAUUGUAGGGUGAAUAUAGUUAACAAUAAUUUAUUGUAUAUUUUCAAAAUGCUAGGAGAGAGGAUUUUGAAUCUAUCUAACACAAAGAAAUUAUAAAUGUUUGAGGUGAUGAAUGUGAGAAACAUGCUCACCUGUCCAAACCCGAAGAACUGACUUAGAGGCACGAAGAACAGUGAAAGUGAGACUUAAUAAUGGUGUUGCAAGAUCGGGCACAUGGUAGACAGGCACACAUGGGGCAGUUACAACAGGUAGUUUAUCUCCUAGCAUGCAAGUCCCUACCCCAGUUCCUUGAUGGUUGAGUACUAUGGGGUUAAAAUCUUCCCAGACAUCGCCUAAGUUUCAAUAUCCCCCUUAUAAGGUUAUACUCCCUCCCCUUCCCAGCUUAAGUUUUGAUUUCCCAAUAAUGAAACUUUAUUCCCUUUUAUGUGCUGACCCCUCAUCUACAUUCUGUUUGCUUAUUGUGAACUUCUAGGUGCAUAAGCCAUGCGGUUUGUUCCAUUUGCCUGCCAGUACUUACAUUUAUUGUGUCUUGAAAGUGGACCAUUUAAAAUGUUUUCUCACAAUGAAUAUGCUAAUUACUCUGAUUUGAUCAUUACACAUUAUGUAUAUGUAUCAAAAUAUCACUCUAUGUCCCAUAGAUAUGUAUAACUAUUAUGUGUUAACUAAAAAAAAAUAGCCUGAUGGUUGUUCUUAUAUACACUUAAAUUUGUUUCUCAAUCAUCUAUUCUGUUCUAUUUUCUGUUUAUUCUAGUAAACUCAGUAGUACACUAAAAUGACUUAUGUUGUGUUUUAACAAUGGAGCUAAUUCUUUUCCAAUACAUUGUUUUGGCUCCUAUUAUUAACUGUUGUGGGAAGUCAGGGACCCCAAACGGAUGGACUGGCUGAAGCCAUGGCAGAAGAAUAUAAAUUGUGAAGAUUUCAUGGGCAUUUAUUAGUUCCCCAAAUUAAUACUUUUAUAAUUUCUUACACCUGUCUUUACUGCAACCUCUGAACAUAAAUUGUGAAGAUUUUAUGGACACUUAUCACUUCCCUAAUCAAUACUCUUUUGAUUUCCUAUGCCUGUCUUUAAUCUCUUAAUCCCAUCAUCUUCGUAAGCUAAGGGUGAAUGUCGCCUCAGGACCCUGUGAUGAUUGUGUUAACAGCACAAAUCGUUUAAACAAUAUGAAAUCUGGGCACCUUGAAAAAAGAACAGGAUAACAGCGAUGUUCAGAGAACAAGGGAGAUAACCUUAAAGUCUGGCUGCCUGUGGGCUGGGUGGAACAGAGCCAUAUUUCUCUUCUUUCAAAAGCAAAUAGGAGAAAUGUCGCUGUAUUCUUUUUCUCAGCAAGGAACAUCCCUGAGAAAGAGAAUAUGUUCCUAAGGGGAGGCCUCUGAAAUGGCCACUUUGGGAACGUCUGUCUUUUACAGUUGUAGAUAAGGGAUGAAAUAAGCCCCGGUCUCCUGUAGCGCUCCCAGGCUUAUUAGGACAAAGAAAUUCCUGCCUAAUAAAUUUUGGUCAGACCAGUUGUCUGCUCUCAAAGCCUGUCUCCUGAUAAGAUGUUAUCAAUGACAAUGCGUGCCCAAAACUUCAUUAGCAAUUUUCAUUUCACCCCGUCCUGUGAUCUCACCCUGCCUCCAACUGCCUUGUGAUCUUUUGUUGCGCUUGAAGCAUGUGAUCUCUGUGACCCACAACCUAUUCAUGCAC
This is a long non-coding RNA of Gorilla gorilla gorilla (western lowland gorilla), 3141 nucleotides long. RefSeq lists it as uncharacterized. The transcript is spliced from 4 exons. The record is from RefSeq and is a predicted model, not a curated record. Lineage: Eukaryota; Metazoa; Chordata; Mammalia; Primates; Hominidae.